GCCGAGCCUGGUAACGUGGGCUUGUAACCUAUGUAGGGGCAAUAAUGUGGUNAUAACUUUACUGUCACAACACUUAUAACAUAUUA
Molecule: non-coding RNA, 86 nt
Filed under: Nicotiana attenuata
Lineage: Eukaryota; Viridiplantae; Streptophyta; Magnoliopsida; Solanales; Solanaceae
Source: RNAcentral